Portunus trituberculatus (swimming crab) is the source of this 987-nucleotide long non-coding RNA. RefSeq lists it as uncharacterized. The record is from RefSeq and is a predicted model, not a curated record. NCBI's taxonomy places the organism in Eukaryota, Metazoa, Arthropoda, Malacostraca, Decapoda, Portunidae. The transcript has 2 exons.
UGUGUGUGUGUGUGUGUGUUGUGUGUGUGUGUGUGUGUGUGUGUGUGUGUGUGUGUGUGUGUGUGUGUGUGUGUGUGUGUGUGUGUGUCGUACAUAUGCUGUUAAAUGAUGUAAACUAUCAUCAUCUUAACACUAAAAACUUGGCAGAUUUGUAACUUUAUCGCAGUGCUGAGGCGAAUGCUGAGCCGGGGCUUUGAGCUGCCCUCCUCAUGCAGCGCGGCUUACCUUUCUCAUAUAUGUUUGUAACUACACCACCCACCACCUCCAUUCCGGUUCCAGCCGUCAUUUCACAUGGCUUUGCACGUGUAUUUUUCUGCUUAGGUUCAGCAGUAUCUGUUAAACGUGCGUGUGUGUGUGUGUGUGUGUGUGUGAGAGAGAGAGAGAGAGAGAGAAUACAGGAGUCUUACAAGGAGUGUCACAUCCCCACACUCCUACACUCCUGCAUCCCUCCCCCUACCCUGACGCCUCCUCAAGUGUAGUCUCAGCCGCUUCCGUUUCCUUUGUAGCCGCAGCAGUCCGGCAGCUGGGUGGCGCCUCGGACCGUUGUCCUGUCUAAAAGCGUCCGUCUGUGGGGAGUGCUUCACACCCCCUCUGUUAUCUUUGUUCAAACUCGUGUAAGAAAGGGUCUAUGGGGGGCUGGUAACACAACUAGAGCAAGCACGUUCAUUAUUUAUCAUUAUGAGUGUACGUAGCGCAUCAUCAAUUGUCUUAUAAUUUAUUACUUAUGAAUUAUUUGGAACCUUGGAAUAGGACGAGAACGGGGACAUGGACGAGUGUUGUUGUUGUUGCUGUGGUGUGGUGAUGGUGGUGGUAAUGACAGAUAUGAUAGAAGCAUUACACAUGACAGACUCACUCACGUCCCUUGAUGAAAAGUUGUUAUUAAGGUCAUACUUACAAGGUGAAGAGAGAGAGAGAGAGAGAGAGAGAGAGAGAGAGAGAGAGAGAGAGAGAGAGAGAGAGAGAGAGAGAGAGAGAGAGAGAGAUUCA